Molecule: ribosomal RNA, 406 nt
Filed under: uncultured bacterium
Lineage: Bacteria
Description: partial 16S ribosomal RNA
Rfam family: Bacterial small subunit ribosomal RNA
Source: RNAcentral
AUUGAACGCUGGCGGCAUGCCUAACACAUGCAAGUCGAACGAGUGGCGGACGGGUGAGUAACGUCUGGGAAACUUCCUGAUCGAGGGGGAUAACUACUGGAAACGGUAGCCAAUACCGCAUACCCUCAGAUGUGCCCAGCUGGGAUUAGCUUGGUGGUGGGGUAACGGCUCACCAAGGCGACGAUCCCUAGCUGGUCUGAGAGGAGGUCCAGCAACAGUGGAGCUGAGACACGGUCCAGACUCCUACGGGAGGAAGCAGUGGGGAAUAUUGCACAAUGGGGGAAGGCCUGAUGCAGCCAUGCCGCGUGUGUGAAGAAUGCCUUCGGGUUGUAAAGUACUUUCAGCGGGGAGGCGGUACCCGAAGAGAAAGCACCGGCUAACUACGUGCCAGCAGCCGCGGUAAUUC